UAGACCGACCUCUCGCUUAUGAUGCUACAAUGCUACACACCGAAAUAUUUCUGCAUCCGGCAUGCAUGCACUAGGGCGUGGCUGGCUCCCAAGAUGCCAUUUUUGAAUCCGCUGUCCUUUCUUUAAUAGGUCCAUGGAUUAGAGCCCCCCAAAAAAAAUUAAAUUGUUCAGCACAGCCAAUGACAAGAAGGAUUAGUUUGUGACGGAGUUAGCAACAUUAGCGAAUAAUGAAGAAGAGGAAAAGGGUGAGGCGUAUUGUAUUU
Gadus morhua (Atlantic cod) is the source of this 263-nucleotide long non-coding RNA. RefSeq lists it as uncharacterized. NCBI's taxonomy places the organism in Eukaryota, Metazoa, Chordata, Actinopteri, Gadiformes, Gadidae. The transcript has 2 exons. The record is from RefSeq and is a predicted model, not a curated record.